AGUGAACGCUGGCGGUAGGCCUAACACAUGCAAGUCGAACGGCAGCACAGUAAGAGCUUGCUCUUACGGGUGGCGAGUGACGGACGGGUGAGGAAUACAUCGGAAUCUACUUUUUCGUGGGGGAUAACGUAGGGAAACUUACGCUAAUACCGCAUACGACCUACGGGUGAAAGCAGGGGAUCUUCGGACCUUGCGCGAUUGAAUGAGCCGGUGUCGGAUUAGCUAGUUGGCGGGGUAAAGGCACACCAAGGCGACGAUCCGUAGCUGGGCUGAGAGGAGAGUCAGCCACACUGGAACUGAGACACGGUACAGACUCCUACGGGAGGCAGCGGUGGAGAAUAUUGGACAAUGGGCGGAAGGCUGAUCCAACCCUGCCGCGUGGGUGAAGAAGGCCUUCGGGUUGUAAAUCUCUUCUGUUGGGAAAUAAAAGCAGCAGGUUAAUCCCCCGCUGUGAUGACGGUACCAAAAGAAUAAGCACCGGCUAACUUCGUG
Molecule: ribosomal RNA, 492 nt
Filed under: uncultured bacterium
Lineage: Bacteria
Description: partial 16S ribosomal RNA
Rfam family: Bacterial small subunit ribosomal RNA
Source: RNAcentral